CCUACGGGGGGGCAGCAGUGAGGAAUAUUGGUCAAUGGCCGGAAGGCUGAACCAGCCAAGUCGCGUGAGGGAAUAAGGCCCUAUGGGUCGUAAACCUCUUUUGUCAGGGAACAAAGGCGGGGACGUGUCCCCGGAUGAGUGUACCUGAAGAAAAAGCAUCGGCUAACUCCGUGCCAGCAGCCGCGGUAAUACGGAGGAUGCGAGCGUUAUCCGGAUUUAGUGGGUUUAAAGGGUGCGCAGGCGGUCUGUUAAGUCAGCGGUAAAAGCCCGGGGCUCAACCCCGGCCCGCCGUUGAAACUGGCAGUCUCGAGUUGGAGAGAAGUAUGCGGAAUGCGCGGUGUAGCGGUGAAAUGCAUAGAUAUCGCGCAGAACUCCGAUUGCGAAGGCAGCAUGCCGGCUCCACACUGACGCUGAGGCACGAAAGCGUGGGUAUCGAACAGGAUUAGAUACCCUUGUAGUC
Molecule: ribosomal RNA, 460 nt
Filed under: uncultured bacterium
Lineage: Bacteria
Description: partial 16S ribosomal RNA
Rfam family: Bacterial small subunit ribosomal RNA
Source: RNAcentral